UGUUAGAGCGAGAUACUUCUGUUUGGCUGCUACUGACCGAAUUUCUUUCAUCUUGAACUGUUGGAUUUGGUUCUUUUCCCUGCUGAACUGAUGAAAGACUAGUACGUUCACUACGAACUGGUUUAUGCUUACUCACCGAUGACUUGUAGUUCUUGAUCCGCGGUCAUGGUGGAUGUGGAAUCACCUCCUUGGAGAUGGACAAGGAGGAACUAACGAUGUUCUUAACAGAUUCGAAGUAAUAGGUUUCCCUGGCUAGUCUUGAAUUUUUUGUCUCCCCUAUGUUUUCAAGAGAAGAUAUUUGCAACAACAAUACUGGAUUGCAGAGGAAGUCGCUUUAUAAACUGUUAAGUCAUAGACUUCCAAAUGGUUUUGUGUGACAAGUCUUUAACUUCUUUUCGUCGAGGUAGUGCUGAUAGACAAAUGAAAGGAAGCCCCAUAUAGCUAAAAUGAUG
Arabidopsis lyrata subsp. lyrata is the source of this 452-nucleotide long non-coding RNA. RefSeq lists it as uncharacterized. The record is from RefSeq and is a predicted model, not a curated record. The transcript has 4 exons. Lineage: Eukaryota; Viridiplantae; Streptophyta; Magnoliopsida; Brassicales; Brassicaceae.